This 73-nucleotide transfer RNA is filed under the name Mustela putorius furo (domestic ferret). It matches the Rfam family "tRNA". From Rfam's summary of the family: Transfer RNA (tRNA) molecules are approximately 80 nucleotides in length. Their secondary structure includes four short double-helical elements and three loops (D, anti-codon, and T loops). The record is from Rfam by way of RNAcentral. Lineage: Eukaryota; Metazoa; Chordata; Mammalia; Carnivora; Mustelidae.
ACCCAGAUGGUUCAGCCCGUGGAGCGUGAGACUGUUGAUCUCAGGGUUGUAGGUUUGAGCCCCACAUUGGGUG